Haemorhous mexicanus (house finch) is the source of this 9387-nucleotide long non-coding RNA. RefSeq lists it as uncharacterized. Lineage: Eukaryota; Metazoa; Chordata; Aves; Passeriformes; Fringillidae. The transcript is spliced from 8 exons. The record is from RefSeq and is a predicted model, not a curated record.
UGACGUCACCGGGGCGGCCGCCGGGAGCCCGCGCACCGGGACCCACCGGGAACUCCCCGGGAGGAGUCCCGGGACAGCCGGGGGCAGCUCCGGGCUGAACCCCCGGCACGGCAGGGCCCCGCGCGGCUCCAGGGACCGCCGCGAUGCGCAGCGAGCAUCCCGGGAGAGCCGCGGGAAUGCCCCGGGCAGGGCAGCUGGAAGGGAGGCGCCGCAGGGAGCUGGCUCCUAGAAAGGCUGAGUGCUUGGAGUCAGAAAACUCACUGCUGUCACAUCCUACCUUGCCUUGGAGCUGGGCUCAGGCUUACAGUGAUUCCUGUUGCACACCCUUCCCAUCCCAGGUUGUGAUGGAACAAAUGGAAGUAUUUCCAGAUGACUUCCCAUGUGCAGCCUCUUCUGGAAGUCGGAGGAAAGCCACGAGGUGGCAAUGUGCACUAGGAAAUAAAGCUGGCACUUCUCAGGGAUCAGUCACUCAGCCCUGGAAUGCGGCUGGAUGGACACUUGGCCUUCCACAGGAGCUGCGGCAGGAUUUCCAGCACCUUUUCCACGUAAAAAAUGUACAUUUGUUUUCCCAGGACUUAUAAAAAAAGCUGUAGGGAUGAACAUCUCCUCCUCCUGCAUUGUUUCGUGCUGGUGGAUGUACUCAGCACGUCUAGGCAUCAUCACUCCGGGCUGAAUCAGACCUGUCUGAGCAUUCACCCUCCUGUCACAGAAGAAGCAAAGGAUGCAGCAAGGCUCAGAGUGAGAGGCUCCAGGUGUCAGCUGAGCAAAGUCAGGAUAAGCUGCAGUUAUUCCAGAGUACGUGUCCACGUGUGGAAUAUUCCGGAACAGGCCUCCUCCGCAUCAGUCAUCAGCUUCAAUUACCAGUUUUCCGGAGCCGAGCCAUCAGGCAGUCUGACACGAGGGUCCAACCUAAUUCCCACCUUCUCCAAAGUCAAGAGCAUAAUGUGCAGAUGAAAAGGUGGAAAAUAGCCUGGACUUCAUUAGCAUGCAGAGCCCGGCUGUUCAUUUGCUUGCUGCGAAUGGAAGUUCUGACACUCGGCGCCUUCUGCAAUAUGAGAAAAGUCCUCUUCAGAGUAUAUGAUGUCCUCACCAGCCAGCAAAGGUCAUCAAAAAGGCAGGCGCUGACCUUGCUCCCUGCUCUUCAUGACUAGUUUAUUGAUUCCAGGAACACCUCAUUACAUGCCGGAUCAACAUAUUAUUGCCAUGUUCAGCGGCUGAAUUGUUUACAAGUGUCUUUAUAACCAGCAGAAAGCCUUCCGGAUGAUGCAUGACUACACUCAUUUGGAUGUGACCUGCCAAUUAGAUGUUAUCCGAUCUGGUGCCGUGUGUCCUGAUCCCUGACCGGGCCCGCUGCCCUGCAUCAGCACGGGCCCAUUUACUACUUCUUUCGAACGGCUCUUUGGCAAAGUGUCCAUUAGCCUGUCAGUCUGUAAAUAUUUUAUUUUUUUACCUCGGCGGAGCGGUGGAGGCGCCGCCGGCGCUCCCGCUCUGUCAUUUGCUAUGCAUGAAGUUGAUAAUCAGCUGGGGGAGGCAAGGGGGUGUUUUAUGGCAGCGUCUGAUGGCCCACCCCAUUUGCAGUCAGCGUGCGUGGCCCGCGCUCCCGCGCCGCGUGCCACCCCGCCACAGGGACCCGGCAUAUUUUAUUCCGACGCCGCGAGACUGCUGAUUUAUCGGUGGGGGGAAGGCAGGAGCGAAACCCCCUCCCCGUGCUCAGCCUCCCCGUGCCCUGCCUCCAAAGGCCCCAUAACUUACCACCCAGCAAAUGCCUUCCCCCUUCUCCAUCUUUCCGGCGCUUUGUGUUCUCCCUCGUUAAUAUAUUGCGCUGCGUUAUUUAUCCCGGCCCGCAGCCUGGGGUAUUUACACGCGCGGAGACGCGAGAACUUCAAAAAUAAAUCACGGGGCAUGACUACUAUUUUAAUCUCUCAUUAAAGACACUUCUGUGGCUCCAUAAAGAAAAGAGUGGCACGGCAGCUGGACGAGCGAGUCCGUAAAGAGAGAUCUUCUGUGCCAAAAAGCGGUGCUGGGAUCGUGGCUUACGGGCACCAGAAAUCUGCACAGGCUGGGGUUUGGAUUUUUCCACCUCAGCCUUUGGUGGUGCUAGGGUAGCUGAGAUGCCAAAGAAAACUCCGUGCGGCCGUGGAUGUGGCUGAUGAGGCAGUGCCAGGAUGUCCAGGGGGGCUGUGGCCUAGCUGGAAUAUGAUAAAAUGUUCGCACACAUGGCACUCUCUGCCCAGAGCUCUGCAAACAUUAAUCAAGUUCCCCAGCACCCCUUGGCAAGUGUCACUGCUGAAAUCCCCUUGCUGGGGUUAAACCCAGGGACCAGAAGGGCUAAAGGGCUCCCAGUGUGAACCCACAGCCCCAGAAACGCCACAUCUCCAGCAUCCUGCUCUCCAGAGCCAGCAUUGCAUCUCCCCAAUCCCAAAACCCACCGUGCCAGGUCCUGGGCUGCCAAACCACAGGAAUGUGACAGGAGGGGGGAUGCCCGUGCUGGGUGACAGAAGACAAUUCCCUCCUUACAACAUGAAGCGUUGGGAAUUGGGGGCUGGAAAAAAGGGGGAUUUGAAUUCCUUAAAACAGCACAAUUAGCUUCCAAAAUAAAAACUAGAAUGUGUUUGUUUAAUUAAAGCUGAGGCAAAACACACACUCAGGUCAAACCAGCCUCAGGCUCCAGAGACAGCACAGUGCAUUGAUCUGAAUUUUGGAAAGGAGUGGAAAAAGCUUCCAUUUCCCAGCAAAUCCCUGGCUCUGGGCAGCCCUGGAGCUGCCGGUGUUGAAUAUUCAGAGGGCUGAUUCCCCACGGUGAGCUCGGAGCUGGCGCUGCAGCCAGGUAACAGGAAUGGAGCCUGGGAGCUCCAAAUCCCAAAUGUGGGAUUUCCAACGGGGCACAGGGAUCUCCCUCCCACGGGGGAGGUACCAGGUCUGGCCGGUCCCACGGUCCCAGUGGGGGAUCUGGCCUUAUUUUGGCUGUGUUAAGCCUGCAGUGGUUUAUCAAGCCCCAGACAUCCCUCCAAAUUUGGCACCUCAUCCCUUCCCUUCUGUUUGUGUCCCUGUUACUGGAUUUCUGUUUAUGAUGUAAAUUCUCCUUUUAAAUGGGAGAAAAAAAUCAGCUCUUUAUGACAGCAGACAUGAAAGUUGUAUGACUAUGGAAAAGUGCAUUAACCUUGCCUUUAGCUUGGAGAACUUAAUAAUCUUUUAAAAUCAACUUUUUAUUAAUUUUGGAAUGAUGCCUAAUGCCUGAGGGGAGUGAGGAGCAGUGGCAUCACCAGUGGAGAUCUUUGCCACUCUAACUUAAGGUCAGGCUUGCAAGUGCUGCAGGAACCACGGCCCGUGCAGAUAUGGAAUCAUGGAAUUGUGAAGGUUGGAAAAGCCCUCUAAGAUCACUGAGUCCAAGCAUUCCUCCAGCACUGCCAAGGCCACCACUAAACAGUGUCCCCAGGUGCCACACCCACACAUCUUUUAAACCCCUCCAGGGAUGGGGACUCAACCACUGCCCAGCUCCAGGGCAGGAGCAGCCUGGUGGUGCUUGGCCAGCCUGGAGCUGGACCUCUGCAUCCAUGUGGGUAAGGAGGAAGGAGCCACCUCAGUUUUAUUGUAAGAUUGAGUUUCCCUGGGAGAAAAUCAGGAUGUCCUUCCUGGGCUGAAAUUUGAAUUUAGCAGGGCAACUGUCAGCCGUUCUUCCUUGGAGACUGGGGCAAGGAGACAGCCAGGAGAACCCAGCCCCUUUCCAGGGGGUUGUGCAGGGAAGGAAGCAGCUGAAGGGCUGUAAAUGCUGCACCCAGCGAGAGCAGUUCAUGGGGCCACUGACCUCACAUGGAUCCACCUGGAGCCCGGAGCUGGGGAAUGGAGCCCGGCCCCGCGGCACGUGUGAGCCUCUCCGGGUGGUGGGCACACACUGGGCAGGGUGAUCCCUUUUUAAUUACUACUAAUAACUUCUUUCACAUAUCGUUCUUGACGGGAUUUUGUUGCAGAGGGCUGCUGGUAUUUUAGGGAUACGCAGGGCGAAUCUCAGUCGGUGCAGCCAAAUCCCUGGGCCGGGGCUCCGAAGCCGCCGGCACGGCCCUCGCCGAGUGUUUCCAAACUGAAUAGUCAUUGGUUUGGCAGAUAAUUCAGAAACUAUUUGUAUGAGCUGUUUAUCAAAUUAUUAACUGCACAGAUGUUGUUUGGAUGAAGAGCAGCUGAACCUUCUCUCUGCCAGCCGGGGAGACAAAGGUCUGCAGGAAUAAUUGGAGAUGUGCAUGGAAUAUUAAAUUAAUUUACUGCUCUUAAUUCUUAUGCAAAUCCUGACCUCUGAUAGAGCCUAUCAAUUACCCUGCACACAGGGAAAAGAAAGGAGAACAGUUUCUUUCUUUUCUUUCCCCCCCUCUCCUUUUUUUCCUGUUGUUCCCCAGUUUGGGGUUUUGUUUCUUUGUUGUUGUUGGUUUUUUUUUCCUUUUGAAAGGGAACUUGGGAAAGGAAAUAUUUGUGGGAAGAAAAAAAGCCAUUUAUUUGUGGUGCAAAGGGCCAGGAUUAUUUAAUUGAAUGUCCCGGUUGCAGCGAUGUCCCCUGGGAGACGGGGUGCAGUUUUUAACACUGUGGGGUGCUCAGGGGAGGCCUGGGAAUGUAGGCCAGAGCCAGGCUGGAAUAGCUCCACAUGCUUCCCCAGGAGGGGCCCCACUCUGCCAGCACUGUGGUGGGCUGAAGUGGGAGAGGACUGGAGGCCCGGGCUGAUCCCAGCUGGGUUUUGGUGGGGUUGGGGGCCGGAAGGGGCCCCUGGCUCUGCUGGAAUCCAGCCGGAGUUCAGGUGGGUUAUCAGGGAGGGCUCCCUGCCCCGAUAGCGGGGCUGAUUCUGCCAGUAAUUACCAGGGAAGAAGAAAAGGAAUUUGUUGUGAGAUCCCAGGUAAAAUGAAGCAGGAUUUAAUUGGUCCUCGUUAAACAGAGCUGGGUUUCCAAUAUGGAGAAAGGCCUUGUCCGGGCAGUGUUUAAUUGGGGCUGCGUGUGCGCUGCUCAGCCGGUGCUUAAAGGCAGGCGCCGGGCCCUGCUCUUUCAUCCCAUUUUCUAAUAAGGAUAAAUAAACAGGAUGAAUAAUGCCAUCAGUCUCUCCCUCGACCCCUGCGAGACCCCAGCAGUGCAGAGCUGUUCACCCUAGGGCUGCUCCCUGGAAUCCAAGGCGAGCAGGAUCCCUUGGCACGGAGCACCCGAUGCGGCACCGAUGGGCUCCGUUAGCAGAACCCCCAGGUCCAGCUACGGAGCAGUUUGUGGAAUUCCUUGGUUAGUGACUGUCACAGGGGAGCCUGAGGAGGGGAUGGGGCUCAGGAGGGGAAAGGAGGGAGAAAAGAAUGGAAAAUAAAAUUAGGUCUUUCCUUUCUAUUUUACCUUUUUUACUUUUUUCCCCCCGUAAAUCCUGGGAAGUGCUGGGAGACUGCACUCCCCCUCCCACGACGCCCACUCGGGUAAUUUCAUUUAUCCCGCAAAUCUAAUUAGCAAUCCGUGGCUGACAUUAAUACAGAUCUAAUGAGGCCAGUGAUGACCAGAUUAUCAGGCGAGUGCUGACAGAGCCUUAAAGGCACAUGGAGCCCUGCAGUCAGUGGGACCCGGCAGGGGAAAAACUGCUUUAAAGGGGGAGAAGGAGAAGAAAAAGAAAAAAAAAAAAAGAAAGAAGGAAAGAAAGAAAAAAAAAAAUAGACGAGGGAGGGGGAGAAAAACAUGAGGAAAAGCAGUGCGGGUAGGGCUUGGCUGCUUAGCUUAUUAAGGGAGCUGGAGCUUUGCUGGACACAGUUUAUCCACCAGCAUCGGGCCUCUGUCUCUGCUUCUCCUGAAAUACCGUUCUGCAGAGGAGAAAAAGGAGGGGGGGAAAUAAGGGGGAAAAAAAUAAGAAGAAACUGGAGCCCAAGGAGUCGCUGUGCAAUUUAUUCCAAGGGGUGGCUGUUGAGAAGGCGGCAAUUUGCGGCGGCCGGGGGUUAUUUAGUGCGAUAUGAAAUCAAAUGAUCCUAUUGCUCAAAUAACAGUGUCUGGGAGGAGAAGCGAGCGCGCUCCAAAGGUAAUUGUCUCCAGAUGAUAUUCCUAUUAUCCCCCAAUCCCGGCCUAAACGCUGCCAGCGCCGGACUGGAAUCGAUACGGGGGGAGGACCGGGGGGAUCCCGGGGCCGGGGGGAGACAUCCCCGGCACUGAACCCCCUCUGGAAGGACAGCAGAGCUUCGGGAAGAUCCUAAAUUCCCCGUGGCUGCUGCCUGUCCGUGCCUCGGCGGGAGCGGCAACACCGGCGGCGGAGCCGAGCCCGGAGCCCAGGUAAGGGACCUACGGGGGGACGCGGAGUGGGAACCCGGGCCCUUCCGAGCCCCGGCGGGCAGCCGCUCUCCGAGCGGACCCCUCUGCAUCGCUUCACCCCAGCCCAGGCUGUCGGGUCCGGUGCGACCUCCCGCGGCCCCGGUGCAGCCCCGCCGUGCUCGGUCAGCCGCUGCCUGCGGUCACUGCCGCCUGCGGUCACCGAUGCCUGCGGUCGGUCCCGUUUGCCCGGAGCCGCUGGAAGCGCAGCGGGACCGGGGGCGGUUUCGCUCUGGAUCCCAGGCUAGCGGAUGGAGAGGCGGCCCCCGCUCUCCGCGGCGCUGCCCGAUGGUAAAAUCGCCGGAAUUCAAUGGCUUGAGGGAGACGGCGGGGGAAAAUUGAAGGGGACGGAAGGCGGUGAGGGGGAGACGGGAGCGAACCAGCGGCACCUACCUGGGCGGGGGUCCCCGUGGCCGGGCUCCCUCCGUGGCCGCUUCGGCAGCGGAGACCGAACGCUCCGGGUGCGGCAGCCCAAGGCGAGCGGCGGCCCCGCAGCCGCUCCCCAAAUUCCAUCGGGGCGUCCCCCGCGCCGCCCGUGGGGUGGCUGGGAUCCCGCCUCGGAGCUGCGGGUACUGGGACGGGGCUUUUUCCUUUCCGUCUUUCUUUUGUCAGCCUUUCGCCCGGGCGGGCAGCGCGUCCCCGGCGCUUCGGGCAUAGAGAACAAACGCUCUCCUCCUGAAAAAAAAAAAAAAAAAAAAAAAAAAAAAAGCGAGUAUUGAGGGAGCGAGACUCCGGGCUGGGGCGCUCAGGAGUGUCCCAGCUGGGACAGCUCUGUGCUCCCGGGGGCCAGGGUUUGUGCCCUGGACCCCUAACAGCGGGAGGUGGCUGUGCUGAACUAGCGGGGACACUGCGGGGAGCCGCAGGAGGAGAAUGCUCGGUGUCAGGCGCCUCUCUCGGGUCAGGUCCUGAUGAGAACAGGGCACAGGUCACCCCCGAGUCGCCAGGAGAGGCUGGUGUGGUUUGUGUGUCUGCAAACGGGCAAAGCAUUUGGAACCUGAAGCCUGGAAGUGAGCCCCAGCCUUUGCCCACCUGUGUGUCCACUGCAUGCUGCCUCGCAGGUAUGUUAGAACGUGGUUUUCAGCACUGUCAAAAUGUGCUGUUGGAGGAUUUUUCCAUCUCUGCUCAAGCCUCUUUGUCAGCUUCAGCCUCAGGUUCCUAUUUCUGUUUGGUGUGUUUUGAAUGGAGUGCAGGGCCCAGGGGUGCUGAGCUCCGAGCAGACACAGCUUAAUUAAUUGAAUAGUCCCGUGCUUGCUCUCCCGCUUUUUACAAACAAAUGAACAGUUGAUAUGUGUGGCUCCUUUCAUUCACCACCAGAACAAUCCGCUGCACAGGACAGGGGGAAAAUUCCUAAUCAGUCACAGCAAACCAGCACGGUGGUUUAGGGUGGGAAGUGAAAAAUACCAUGUCCACUGAAACCUGGAUUUCACAGCACUGGAGGAUUGGGAGAGGCAGGGUGCAGGACUCGCCCCAGGUGGGACCUGGGCUGGCUGCACAGGCAGUGCUUCCUCAAAGCACUCCCAGGUCCGGGCACUCAGCUCCAGACCUCUGGUAGAAGUGAGACUGGAACAGAGGCAGCAGCCAAGCCGUGCCCAGACAGGAGCUUGGGGGUUCCCUACGGCGCGAGCUCGGAGCUCCACGCUUGCUCUCCUCCUGCACGGCCCUUUUGCUGAUCCGCUCGCUUUUAUUUCCCAGAGUUGCUGCUGGCCCGCAGGUGUUCCUGCUGAGACACAGACGUGGUGGUGGGCAGUGUUUGAAUGCUGGGCUGUGAGGAGACCAGAGAUCCUCCAGGGACCCCGUGUUUGUCUGUGUGUCUGUCCCAAGAGCUGCACCCCGCUGCCCGUGCUGUCAGAUCCCGGUUCCUGGCCCCACACACCACACGGCUCGCCCAAGUGCCUCCCUUUGUUUCAAACUCUUGGAGCCUGGAGCACUUGUUGAACCUGACCACGAGUUCAUCAAAGUGGCUGACAAUUAGGAAAUAAACAAAUAGCAUUUGAGGCAUUUUUGGGCGGAAUCCAGUCAUACAUAGAUGGGCUUGUUGCUGUUGUUGUCAUAUUGAAUAUUCCUCAUAGUUGGGAUAUUUGUGCUGUGCAGCAGCGUCCCCGGCACGGCAAACAUUGCAUUCUCUCUCUGUGCAAAGGCUUCAUUAAUCAAACCAGACAAUGGGCCAGACACAUCCCUUUGAGCCUGGUGCUGGGAUCCUCUGGGCUUUUCACCUUAUCCAAACGCUUCAUCCCUGUCAAUGCAGGCAGCAGCUCUUCAAAACCAAUCCCUCUGAGCUAUGGGACUGACAGGAAAAUUCAGUUAAAAGAAUUCCCCAGUUAUUUUAUAUUUUCCCUUUAUUUUUCAUGACUUGUGGAAGCUAAACUUUUUCAGUCUUUUUGUCUGUACAUGAGAUCAAUCCAGUCAUUUGUUAAAACACUAAUGAAAUUGCCUGAUAGAUCUGUGUCCUUUAAAGCAGCAGCAGCAGCAGCAGUAGCAAGCACUGAGAUCGAGCAGGAUGGAGUGGCCUGGCCAAGCCGUGACCCCGCUGGCAGGAGCUGCAGAGUGGACAGCAGAGGGAACACAGCUUGGUGGUGAAGGUGCUGUUCUCCUGAAAGAGGAUCCUGGCAAAAACAUGGCUUGGUGCAGGGAAUGGCACGCUGAAGGCAAGUCAGCAGCAGACACUUGAAUGAAGACUCCUCGUGUUUACAGCCUGGUGGCACAAGUGACUGAGACCCGAAACCUCCCUGACAUGCUCUCUGGAUGCUUGGCCUUGGAACAGCCUCAUUCGUGCCACACCUGCUCCCUUCCGCUCGUGGAGCCUUCUAUGCUGCACUGGACACUGUAAAAGCACUUGGAGAUGGCUGGAGAAAGAAGGGGGCUUCCUGGAAAAUGGUCUCCAAACCAGCCCUUCCCUGUGCCGUGGCUUUUCUGAGGCUCGUUAAUAUCAGUGGUUCCUGCUGGAGGAACUCUGUCACCUUCCCCGAGGCAGCAGAUCUGAGGCCAGACGUGGUGUGUGCUGCUUGUGCAUCAGACACAAGUAAUAACAAGUUUCGAGGAACUGUACCACUUAAUAAAAGCAUUUUAUUACAUUUAAAUGUAUUAAAA